AAUUCGAAGCAACGCGAAGAACCUUACCAGAUCUUGACAUCCAAUUGACCAUCUUUAAUCGAGAUUUUGCCUUCGGGUACAAUUGAGACAGGUGGUGCAUGGUUGUCGUCAGCUCGUGUCGUGAGAUGUUGGGUUAAGUCCCGCAACGAGCGCAACCCUUGUGUUUAGUUGCAAACAGGUCAAGCUGUGCACUCUAGACAGACUGCCGUGGACAACACGGAGGAAGGUGGGGAUGACGUCAAAUCAUCAUGCCCCUUAUGAUCUGGGCUACACACGUGCUACAAUGGCCGGUACAACGGGCAGCGAAGGAGCGAUCCGGAGCGAAUCCUAAAAAGCCGGUCCCAGUUCGGAUUGCAGGCUGAAACUCGCCUACAUGAAGUUGGAGUUGCUAGUAAUCGCGAAUCCAGAAUGUCCGCGGUGAAUAGUACGUUCCCGGGUCUU
Molecule: ribosomal RNA, 441 nt
Filed under: uncultured Fusibacter sp.
Lineage: Bacteria; Bacillati; Bacillota; Clostridia; Eubacteriales; Fusibacteraceae
Description: bacterial SSU rRNA
Rfam family: Bacterial small subunit ribosomal RNA
Source: RNAcentral